This is a long non-coding RNA of Cryptomeria japonica (Japanese cedar), 4489 nucleotides long. RefSeq lists it as uncharacterized. The transcript is spliced from 4 exons. Lineage: Eukaryota; Viridiplantae; Streptophyta; Pinopsida; Cupressales; Cupressaceae. The record is from RefSeq and is a predicted model, not a curated record.
UUGGGAAAUAAAUAUAUAAUGUCAUGAAAAUCUUGUUAGGAUUUAUUAGUUCCUGCCCGCAGGAAACUAUAGCGGAGGCAAUUUCUCUUAACGCGCAACCAAUCAUAAAUUAUUUUGUUGCAAAAGCUUUCUUAUUUUCUUAGUUCCUACCAGGAGUUUGCAGCGGAUCACGCGGUUCUCAACGAGAAAGAACGCAUGUCUCCAGAGGCAGCUACAGAGCGUCAAAGCAGAGUUCCCGACGGUAGCUUGAACCUGGCAAAAUGCAUUUGGAAAACCAUGCAAUGCGGUGUCGUGCAUGCAAACCUUGUGUGGAAGCAAAUACUGUAAACACAUUUUCUGGUGCAGAUUUUUAAGGAGGGAAAAUACAGUUGUUCAAAACUCCUGAAUGAUGUGUCCUCUUGCCUGAGUAUUCAUAUCUCCCGGACAUAUCCGCUCCAGGGUCGAUUUCAGGUGAUGUACAGAUCAUCCUGCUUCAGGAUAUUCCAGUUCCUCUAGCCAACCGAGAUAAGUGUUGAGCCCUUGCAUGACCACUACAUAAGAGGGCGAUUCAAGACAUUUUUUUAAGAUGAAAUUACAUUUCGUCUUCAACAGCAAAAAAAGUCUAACACUGCAUUUUUAUGACCGCCAAAUUUGUGGGAAAUAAGAUUGAAGAGGGUUUGAAGGCGGUGAAUCCAUUUUCAUAACUACGACUGAUCUACAGAGGGAGCCUCUGUUAAUCACUGCAAAUAUAAUUCUUUUUGUAUGAUGUUGGAGGUUUUCACAUUUGCUCACAAGUGGAUUCCUUUCUGCAAGUCAAUUCUGUCGAACCUCGUUACCCAACUAAAUUAUUUUCUUCUCACACGGCUUCUCCCCUUUCCGAAUAGAGAAAUGAAUUGAAGGAAGAAUAUAAACACAGUUGGAGAAUUGGGUUAACGAUUUAGCACAGAAGCCUCAGGAAGCCCUAAAAUUUUUACGGUGAUACACGUCUUGGGAUUAUGAUAAUCUUAUGGCCACCCACCUAUAGUUGAGGUUGUGAAUAACAUUGGAAUUGGUAGAUCUAAAUAGCUUGCUCCCUUGCUUAUGCAUGCAACGCCGGAAAAGAGCACCACCAAAAUCCUUUGUGAUCUGGAUGAGAAGUUUUGUCAAUAUCACACUAGGGUGGGGGGCAUUUUUUUCCUUGAUAACAAAGAACUGGGGAAGGGUAAAUACAUAGAUUCCAACCUGCAAACAACCAUUGAAACGUGAUAUUUUCAUAGCACUAUACAGAAUCAACUUGGUGUCUGAAGGAUGCGGCCCAGAUGUGUAGAUCCAAUGGCUUCAUCAUUCCCCUGUUUUAUGAUGCAGAACCCUAUGAUGUUCGCUAGAAGGAGGUCCAUUCGCAGACCCAUUCAAAAAAUGUUAUAGUCAUUUAGAUCAGCAAGAUGAGAAUACAAUCAAGGAAUGGGAGAAUGCUUUUCAUCAAAUCUCUUCUUUUCCUAGUAGAACGAGGGCGGAAGAAUUCAGGUAAGUAAUUUGCAUCCUUUUCUUUCAAUUAACCCAUGGAAAAAACCAAAAGAGAACUUUAUUGAGAGGUCCAGUCAUUAUUAUUAGCCAUUUGUUUAGGGGAGAAACUGUUUGGUUACCAAUUCUUUAAAAGUAGCCUGAUUUUCUUCUUGUUCAACUUUCUACCCUGUUUCUACCAUAAUACUAGAUUCUGGGCUCCUCCUCAGACCCUAUUGCUUGGUUUAGGGGAUUUAUUGAUUUCUUCAAGAUUUUGUUUCAGAUCUCUUUCUAUCCCCCAAACCACUUUCAUCCCUCAAAUUUUCUAGCCAUCCAAUUUCUACCUACAUCAAAUCAGGUCGCCUCCUGUUCAUAUCGUUCGUGACAUUUUCCAGGUUCCUUCAGUUCGAUGAUUAUUAUUGGUACUCUCAUUUCAUUUACUCGAGGAUAUGUAUUCAUAUCAUUCCAGGAUAUGGAAUUUCAGUCAUGUGAAUCUCAUCUUUGUUUGAUUUUCUAGUUUCCAAUGGUGCGAUCGUGUGGGUAUUUUUUGCUCUUUUUCAGACUCAAAUUUUCCCUAAUUUGGAUAUAGUUACUCUGAUGCAAUCAAUGUUCCUAUUAUUUCUACAAGCUGUGAGGAUCGAAAACUACAGGCAAAUAUUGCUACUUCUUUCCAGGUUCCAGUCUCUCUUUUAACUUCAUUCAUACACUUUAGGAUAAAUUUAUAUUGGAAAACACAAUUAACAUUCUAUAAUCCAUGCACUGAAAUUGAUUUUGCAAAAAGGAUGAAUCACUUCUCAGCAUAUCUUGUGAAAGGGUCAUAUUUGUCAUACUGAUGAUUAUAUAAAUUCUUAAGUAAGAUGAUAAGAGGAUAAUUUUCCCUAACCAUCGGUAUUCCUGAUUUAUUGUUAUGUUAAGAAAGUUGCUAUUUUACACUUGUCCUCUUAUCAUCUUACUCAAGCAUUUAUAUAAUCAUUAGUAUGAUAAAUAUGACCCUUUCACAAGAAAUGCUGAGAAGUGUAACAUCCUUUUUGGAAAAAUCAAUUUCAGUGCAUGGAUUAUAGAAUGUUAACUAUGUGUUUUCUAAUAUAAAUUGGUCCUAAAGUGUAUGAAUGGAGUUAAAAGAGAGUCUGGCAGCUGCAAAGAACCAGCAAUAUUUGCCUGUAGUUUUCGGUCCUCAUAGUUUGUAAAAAUAAUAGGAACACUAAUUGCAUUGCUGAAUCAGAAAUAAUAAACCCACAAUAAGAUUCUCUCUUUAAUUUGAAGAAAUGUUCCCCAGGAAUUCAUUUUUUACACAUACCACAAGGCUAACAUCAUAAAUAGCAAAUUACUAAAAUCUUGUUACUUUCCAGUUAAACAUUGUUGUUUGGAAGGACUGAAGUUGUGUACUAGCAGAUAUACUUAGAGUCUUAGUACUUGUGCUAUCACUAGCCACCUAUUAAAUCUAGUGAAAAAAGCACCCCCUAUUACUCGGUUUGUCCCUGUACACAUCAACGAUCACCUCUACAUUUGCCUAUUCGUCAUAAAAAAAUGUAGUUCUAAUUUCUAAGUAAAAAAGGCAUUAGUCCUUAGUAAAUAUAAAACCUAGAGUCUUAAAACCUUUCUCAGAUAGAAAUUGUGUUGCUCCAGUCUAUCCUAUUGUAAAUUUGGAGUGCAAGCAUGUCUGAUGGUAAUCUCUGCUCCUAUUUAAAAUAUCAAAUAGUCGUUAGACUUGAUCAAUAUUAAGUUUUUUUUCAUGAUACUUUGGAAUAAAUAAUGUAAAGAUGUUUUAUAUAUUAAUUAGUUAUUUGUAGUUUAAGCAAAUCAUCAUUUUAAUAUCUAAUGGAUUAGAAGAGGUUAUUUUUUUUGUUUCUGUUGCUUUUAUGUAUGGAUUAGAAUAUGUAGAUUCUUGAAACACAAACUAUUAACCACAGAAAUUAAUAUUUUAUUUAGAAUAGAUUACAUUUUACAACUCAAAAUAGAGGUUUUACAUCAAUUUUUUGUUGCUCAAUAUAUUACAGACUUGGACACUUCUCUUUAUAGAAAUAAUAGUCCCUAAAAGUAGACCAUAAACUAAAUUUGUUUGUUCCAUACAUUUAGCAUGCACAGUUUAGAAAUCAAAUUAACUUCAAGACUUCUAAAUUGAAAAUUCUAAAAAUAUGACCACUCAUGCAUUAUGCAUACAAUGCAUCACAUACUAACAUGAUAUUUGUUGUAUUGGUCAGAACUUAAGAAGAACAAUAUCUUUAAGAAUUAAUGAUCACAAACAUUUAAUUAGUGAUCCUCUUUCUAUGACUAUUAUUCAAGUGACUGUAUUCUAUCUUUUUCUGACCUUCUUCAUUGUAUAGUCUUUGACUAUCCCAUUGCUUUGCUUUUGGUGCCUGUCACCCUAUUGAUCGCUAUUUCGGGCUCUUGAUAUUGUGAUGUAUGGGCUUUCUAAGUGCUUUGUGACAAAUGAUCUAUUUGAUUGAAUGAAUAUCUUUACAUUGCUCUGCUCUUGGCUUAGCUACAAACUUUUUUAUUGGUUGUAUGCGAUCAAUGUUGACCAUCCUUAAAAUUUUGUCUUUACCCAUAUUCUCACUGAGAAUCAUAAAUAUCACAAUGCUCUCAUCUCCGUGACAUGUAAAUCUGCACUCUUGGAUGUCUUUUGAACUACUCAAUGUACAUGCAUCUCCAAAAAGUUGGUGAUUGACCCUUUGAUUACUAUUGUACUAUGUAUCCUUGUCAUUAUUUGAUGAUUGUACAAAGUCAUUGUUAUAGCUCCUCUUGGUGACUAUAUAUAGAUAAAAGAUUGUCAAAUGAUUCCAAAUCUAUCACAACCUUAUCCUUCAAUUUGGUCUCACUAAUUCCAAAUCUAUCACAACCUUAUCCUUCAAUUUGGUCUCACUAAUCUUUGAACUGUGAAAUAUCCCUAUGCCUUUAGGUGCUCUAUGCUCAUGGGUUAUGCCUUCAUCAUUACUCCUUUAUCUAUCACUAUGAUUGCAAAAGUUGAUUGGGUGCUUUUAUGCUUUUGAUCAUUAAUUGUCAUUGGAGGUCUUUCAUUUGCUUCCCUUAC